GGGGAACAGGAAGUUCCGCGCAGGCGCGCAUCAUUCUUCAGAAUAAAGGAUACGUCAGAAUUGUGCAGUUGAUACGACAACUUCUGUGUCCGUUUCUAAUAUAUUACUACUGGUAUGAGGCCUCAACAGUGAGGACAAACCCAGCCUGCCUCUCUCCUUCCACACUGAGUCCAAACCCACAGUCACUGGGUCCUGAUUGUGACAGUGGAGCCCAGUUUGCACUGCAGGAUCCAGAGAUGGCAUCAGUGAAGCUGGAAGACUGCAGUCAAACACUGGAGCUGAACGUCAACAUUAAAGAUGAAGAAGAGGAGGAGAAGAUUGGGAAAUCUAUUUCUCAUGGACGACUAGAAUUAAGUCUGGGGCCGGUAACAUCAACAGUGACGACAAACCCAGCCUGCCUCUCUCCUUCCACACUGAGUCCAAACCUACAAUCACUGGGUCCUGAUUGUGACAGUGGAGCCCAGUUUGCACUGCAGGAUCCAGAG
Oncorhynchus keta (chum salmon) is the source of this 485-nucleotide long non-coding RNA. RefSeq lists it as uncharacterized. The record is from RefSeq and is a predicted model, not a curated record. The transcript is spliced from 3 exons. NCBI's taxonomy places the organism in Eukaryota, Metazoa, Chordata, Actinopteri, Salmoniformes, Salmonidae.